UACGGGGGGAGCAAGCGUUGUUCGGAUUUACUGGGCGUAAAGGGCGCGUAGGCGGUCGUGACAAGUCACUUGUGAAAUCUCCGGGCUUAACUCGGAACGGUCAAGUGAUACUGUCGGACUAGAGUACAGAAGGGGCAACUGGAAUUCUCGGUGUAGCGGUGAAAUGCGUAGAUAUCGAGAGGAACACCUGCGGCGAAGGCGGGUUGCUGGGCUGAUACUGACGCUGAGGCGCGAAAGCAUGGGGAGCGAACGGG
This 254-nucleotide ribosomal RNA is filed under the name uncultured bacterium. RNAcentral describes it as "partial 16S ribosomal RNA". It matches the Rfam family "Bacterial small subunit ribosomal RNA", at positions 524 to 776 of the family's 1533-position model. The record is from RNAcentral.